This 1360-nucleotide long non-coding RNA is filed under the name Homo sapiens (human). Its description in RNAcentral is "HSALNT0391111". Lineage: Eukaryota; Metazoa; Chordata; Mammalia; Primates; Hominidae. The record is from RNAcentral.
CUCACUGCUACUAGGAUGAGGCUGUUCCGUGUCCCUCUCAGUGGAUUACAGGUGUGAGCCACCUUGCCUGGUCUAGAUCCAUGAUUUUUCAACUGGACUAAACACUUUCUUCAGGUCUCAGCAGUUGUCUUACUAAUGGCCUCUUUCCCUUCCUGGACCUAAUCCAGGACACCAUGGUGCGUUGAGUGUCCAUGUCUCCUUAGUCUCCGCUGACUGGUGACAGUUUCUGGUCUUCUCAUGAUUAGACUGGGACUGCAGAAUUUUGGGAAGAACACCUAAGAGAUGAAGUGCCCUCAUCCUAUCACAUCCGGGAUGUGUGAUAUCAACAUAUAUGAGUCAUGUUGGAAAGAUGGACAAAUGGGGAUUCCAAAGCUGUUCAUCACAGUCAGCGAAUGGUAGAGGAAGGAUUUGAACUGGGGCCACUCUGAGAUGUGUGCUCAUUUCCUUAGUUUGAGAAAAAGAACUGUCUGGUGAGGAAAACAAGGAAAGACCUCCGGUAUUGAAGCAAUGGUGGGAGGUAGAAGUCUGCACCCAGAUGAGGUCCUUCAGGCGGGGUGGAUUUGCCACCUGUGGCCUCUUUCCCAGGACCUUGUCCAGCCUUGUCCUAGCUUCCCUCUGGUGCAAGUGGCACUAUCUUUUGUCCAUUACAUGGGAUUGUCCGGUCUUUGUGCCACUAGUGCAAGGAUGAAAAUAAUCCAAUAAUCCAUCAAAAAUGCAUGUUUCAUGAGAAUUCAAGUUAUACAAGAGUCGUACUAUGCCAGCCAGCAGUCAUAGGUCAUCUGUACCCUCCUCCCUGUCCUCCCUGCAACCCCGCCUUCAGAGUUCUUACCGGCUCUCCCAGUGGGAUGUCAGCAGAGGAGGCCGUCCACAUGGAAUUGGCUUAUGGCUGUUGGUGGCACUGGCUUUCCUUUACCUGCUGUGGACACCUUUGUCUCGUAGUCAUCAGGAAAAUCACUGUCACUGCAUCAGAAACGCUGGAACAUCCUGAAGUUUCAAAGCAGAAAUUCCAAACCAUGUCCUCUGGGCAGUAUUCAACUAGCAUAUGUGUUUCGUUUGGCCCUCACUUAAUUUAAAAAACUUAAAAUUAGUCCGCAACGUGAAAAAAUCAGAAGCUCAUCAUAAAAGACUGGAUUUUGGCUUCUUUUGAAAAAUCAGAUGUGGUAAUAGAUGGCCCACAUUCCUGCCUGGUGGCAUGAGGGCAAGCGGAGUGGCAGCUGCCCCGGUGGCUCGGGCACAUGUCCCCACUCCACCCCUGUCCUCUCCACUCUCCACGAAUCACCACCCCCAACCUCAUUCAUUGGUGGUGUCUGCCUGGCCUCUGAAGGCAUUUGAGUCCACAGCCCUUGCAUGAGAUUCUUGC